Molecule: non-coding RNA, 159 nt
Filed under: uncultured Alistipes sp.
Lineage: Bacteria; Pseudomonadati; Bacteroidota; Bacteroidia; Bacteroidales; Rikenellaceae
Source: RNAcentral
UUCUUGUGGAGACGGAUUAAAAGGGAAUCCUGUGAAAGUCAGGAACUAUCCCCGUAGCUGUAAGUUCCUUUUUUGUGGAGGGUAGCUCUUUGGCCACUGUCGCUUUGGCGAUGGGAAGGCGUACUCUCCGGAACAAGUCAGAAGACCUGCCUGCGCUUG